Molecule: long non-coding RNA, 1073 nt
Organism: Gorilla gorilla gorilla (western lowland gorilla)
Lineage: Eukaryota; Metazoa; Chordata; Mammalia; Primates; Hominidae
Exons: 3
Source: RefSeq, a predicted model, not a curated record
GGCAGCUGUUGGAGAGGGAUGGGUCAAGGGAUGGAGGGUAGCACUGUGAGCUGAAAUAGGAGGCAAGAAGAGAUUGAAGGGAAAUCUCAAGGGGCUCCAGAGACUACUACAAUGGUGCAAAGUCACAGAAGCCCUGGGAAAAGCAGGUAGAAUGGAGUUGCCAUGACACUGAGCCUCAUCUAGAUGCCAGGUAGGGAGCACGCAUUAUCACAGGUUCUCCUCUAAGCUACAGGCUGCAGUUGGUGUCAUCAACGAAAAAGAACAGUGUUAGAGCCUGGUGGUAAAUGACUGGACCAGAUACUUCCAACUGUCUGCAUUUUAGAGACUCGUGAGCACAGGCAUCUGUACUGACAUCACUUAAGCAGCUCUCAGAUUGUAACAGUGGACUGAAUCAGGAUUUCUAGGACUCUUUUUUUUUUUUUUGACAAUGAUGUCAUUUAUUUAAAAUGUUUACUCCAAGAAAUACAUAUAUAUAUAUAUAUAAAAAUAAGAAAAUUACAGCACUAAACCAGGCACCUUCGACCAAAUCACAACCUCCUGUUUGAUUCCCCUUCAUGCUAAGCCUCUUUCAGAUUCUUUUUCCUGAGCUGGAAGACCAGUUGGAUGCCCACAGGGUCAGCGCCAAGCACAUUCCCAGCCGGGCAACUGUGUACCUUUCUCUAGGAGUGCAUGACACCCUUCCCCCACAACUCCUUGUUUUAGAGGAUUUAACCCAUUAGGAAGCCCGUUUUUCAAUCUAAGCCAGAAGGAGGUGCGGGACAAGGCAGUCUUCACUUUGAAGGUCCCUUUCCUGCUCCAGUCCCUGGGCUGGGGUUCUAGAAGAGGCUGGCUGCCGGGUUUACAUGAGGCCACCGAAGAUCUAAGUCCUAGGACUCUUUUAAUCCACAAGCAGAUGACUUCAUGAAAGCAGAGAAUGCGGAUCCAAGAUCCAGUGGAACAAGAAUUUAUUUCACGGGACUGCAUGAGGUGCUGUGGGAAUUUCAUCGUAGUUAUUUCUUUAAACUCUUGUUAAUGUUGUUUCAGUGUUCUAUUUUCAGGCUCUAAGAGGAAACCUUUUCUCUUCUUUGGCUCUC